GGGGAAUAUUGGACAAUGGACCGAGAGUCUGAUCCAGCAAUUCUGUGUGCACGAUGAAGUUUUUCGGAAUGUAAAGUGCUUUCAGUUGGGAAGAAAAAAAUGACGGUACCAACAGAAGAAGUGACGGCUAAAUACGUGCCAGCAGCCGCGGUAAUACGUAUGUCACAAGCGUUAUCCGGAUUUAUUGGGCGUAAAGCGCGUCUAGGCGGCUAUGUAAGUCUGAUGUGAAAAUGCGGGGCUCAACUCCGUAUUGCGUUGGAAACUGUGUAGCUAGAGUAUCGGAGAGGUAAGCGGAACUACAAGUGUAGAGGUGAAAUUCGUAGAUAUUUGUAGGAAUGCCGAUGGGGAAGCCAGCUUACUGGACGAAUACUGACGCUAAAGCGCGAAAGCGUGGGUAGCAAACAGGAUUAGAUACCCUGGUAGUCCACGCCGUAAACGAUGAUUACUAGGUGUUGGGGGUCGAACCUCAGCGCCCAAGCUAACGCGAUAAGUAAUCCGCCUGGGGAGUACGUACGCAAGUAUG
Molecule: ribosomal RNA, 523 nt
Filed under: uncultured bacterium
Lineage: Bacteria
Description: bacterial SSU rRNA
Rfam family: Bacterial small subunit ribosomal RNA
Source: RNAcentral